RNAcentral lists this ribosomal RNA (2902 nucleotides) under Klebsiella pneumoniae. RNAcentral describes it as "23S ribosomal RNA". It matches the Rfam family "Bacterial large subunit ribosomal RNA". The record is from RNAcentral. RNAcentral also lists the same sequence under 1 other name. Lineage: Bacteria; Pseudomonadati; Pseudomonadota; Gammaproteobacteria; Enterobacterales; Enterobacteriaceae.
GGUUAAGCGACUAAGCGUACACGGUGGAUGCCCUGGCAGUCAGAGGCGAUGAAGGACGUGCUAAUCUGCGAAAAGCGUCGGUAAGGUGAUAUGAACCGUUAUAACCGGCGAUGUCCGAAUGGGGAAACCCAGUGCAAUUCGUUGCACUAUCGUUAACUGAAUACAUAGGUUAACGAGGCGAACCGGGGGAACUGAAACAUCUAAGUACCCCGAGGAAAAGAAAUCAACCGAGAUUCCCCCAGUAGCGGCGAGCGAACGGGGAGCAGCCCAGAGUCUGAAUCAGCUUGUGUGUUAGUGGAACGGUCUGGAAAGUCCGACGGUACAGGGUGAUAGUCCCGUACACCAAAAUGCACAGGUUGUGAACUCGAAGAGUAGGGCGGGACACGUGGUAUCCUGUCUGAAUAUGGGGGGACCAUCCUCCAAGGCUAAAUACUCCUGACUGACCGAUAGUGAACCAGUACCGUGAGGGAAAGGCGAAAAGAACCCCGGCGAGGGGAGUGAAAAAGAACCUGAAACCGUGUACGUACAAGCAGUGGGAGCACCUUCGGGUGUGACUGCGUACCUUUUGUAUAAUGGGUCAGCGACUUAUAUUCUGUAGCAAGGUUAACCGUAUAGGGGAGCCGCAGGGAAACCGAGUCUUAACUGGGCGUUAAGUUGCAGGGUAUAGACCCGAAACCCGGUGAUCUAGCCAUGGGCAGGUUGAAGGUUGGGUAACACUAACUGGAGGACCGAACCGACUAAUGUUGAAAAAUUAGCGGAUGACUUGUGGCUGGGGGUGAAAGGCCAAUCAAACCGGGAGAUAGCUGGUUCUCCCCGAAAGCUAUUUAGGUAGCGCCUCGUGAACUCAUCUUCGGGGGUAGAGCACUGUUUCGGCUAGGGGGUCAUCCCGACUUACCAACCCGAUGCAAACUACGAAUACCGAAGAAUGUUAUCACGGGAGACACACGGCGGGUGCUAACGUCCGUCGUGAAGAGGGAAACAACCCAGACCGCCAGCUAAGGUCCCAAAGUCAUGGUUAAGUGGGAAACGAUGUGGGAAGGCACAGACAGCCAGGAUGUUGGCUUAGAAGCAGCCAUCAUUUAAAGAAAGCGUAAUAGCUCACUGGUCGAGUCGGCCUGCGCGGAAGAUGUAACGGGGCUAAACCAUGCACCGAAGCUGCGGCAGCGACACUAUGUGUUGUUGGGUAGGGGAGCGUUCUGUAAGCCUGCGAAGGUGACCUGUGAGGGUUGCUGGAGGUAUCAGAAGUGCGAAUGCUGACAUAAGUAACGAUAAAGCGGGUGAAAAGCCCGCUCGCCGGAAGACCAAGGGUUCCUGUCCAACGUUAAUCGGGGCAGGGUGAGUCGACCCCUAAGGCGAGGCCGAAAGGCGUAGUCGAUGGGAAACAGGUUAAUAUUCCUGUACUUGGUGUUACUGCGAAGGGGGGACGGAGAAGGCUAUGUUAGCCGGGCGACGGUUGUCCCGGUUUAAGCAUGUAGGCUGAUUAUCCAGGCAAAUCCGGAUAAUCAAGGCUGAGGUGUGAUGACGAGGCACUACGGUGCUGAAGUAACAAAUGCCCUGCUUCCAGGAAAAGCCUCUAAGCAUCAGGUAACAUCAAAUCGUACCCCAAACCGACACAGGUGGUCAGGUAGAGAAUACCAAGGCGCUUGAGAGAACUCGGGUGAAGGAACUAGGCAAAAUGGUGCCGUAACUUCGGGAGAAGGCACGCUGGUGUGUAGGUGAAGUCCCUGCGGAUGGAGCUGAGACCAGUCGAAGAUACCAGCUGGCUGCAACUGUUUAUUAAAAACACAGCACUGUGCAAACACGAAAGUGGACGUAUACGGUGUGACGCCUGCCCGGUGCCGGAAGGUUAAUUGAUGGGGUUAUCCGUAAGGAGAAGCUCUUGAUCGAAGCCCCGGUAAACGGCGGCCGUAACUAUAACGGUCCUAAGGUAGCGAAAUUCCUUGUCGGGUAAGUUCCGACCUGCACGAAUGGCGUAAUGAUGGCCAGGCUGUCUCCACCCGAGACUCAGUGAAAUUGAACUCGCUGUGAAGAUGCAGUGUACCCGCGGCAAGACGGAAAGACCCCGUGAACCUUUACUAUAGCUUGACACUGAACAUUGAGCCUUGAUGUGUAGGAUAGGUGGGAGGCUUUGAAGCGUGGACGCCAGUCUGCGUGGAGCCAACCUUGAAAUACCACCCUUUAAUGUUUGAUGUUCUAACGUUGGCCCCUUACCGGGGUUGCGGACAGUGUCUGGUGGGUAGUUUGACUGGGGCGGUCUCCUCCCAAAGCGUAACGGAGGAGCACGAAGGUUAGCUAAUCCUGGUCGGACAUCAGGAGGUUAGUGCAAUGGCAUAAGCUAGCUUGACUGCGAGCGUGACGGCGCGAGCAGGUGCGAAAGCAGGUCAUAGUGAUCCGGUGGUUCUGAAUGGAAGGGCCAUCGCUCAACGGAUAAAAGGUACUCCGGGGAUAACAGGCUGAUACCGCCCAAGAGUUCAUAUCGACGGCGGUGUUUGGCACCUCGAUGUCGGCUCAUCACAUCCUGGGGCUGAAGUAGGUCCCAAGGGUAUGGCUGUUCGCCAUUUAAAGUGGUACGCGAGCUGGGUUUAGAACGUCGUGAGACAGUUCGGUCCCUAUCUGCCGUGGGCGCUGGAGAAUUGAGGGGGGCUGCUCCUAGUACGAGAGGACCGGAGUGGACGCAUCACUGGUGUUCGGGUUGUCAUGCCAAUGGCACUGCCCGGUAGCUAAAUGCGGAAGAGAUAAGUGCUGAAAGCAUCUAAGCACGAAACUUGCCCCGAGAUGAGUUCUCCCUGAGACUUUAAGUCUCCUGAAGGAACGUUAAAGACGAUGACGUUGAUAGGCCGGGUGUGUAAGCGCAGCGAUGCGUUGAGCUAACCGGUACUAAUGAACCGUGAGGCUUAACCUU